This 374-nucleotide ribosomal RNA is filed under the name uncultured organism. Its description in RNAcentral is "bacterial SSU rRNA". It matches the Rfam family "Bacterial small subunit ribosomal RNA", at positions 526 to 896 of the family's 1533-position model. The record is from RNAcentral.
CAGAGGGUGCGAGCGUUGUUCGGAAUUACUGGGCGUAAAGCGCGCGCAGGCGGCUUCUUAAGUCUGUCGGUCAAAUGCCGGGGCUCAACCCCGCUGCAUGCCGGGGAUACUGGGAAGCUGGAGACACGUAGAGGCAAGCGGAAUUCCGGGUGUAGCGGUGGAAUGCGUAGAGAUCCGGAAGAACACCGGAGGCGAAGGCGGCUUGCUGGGCGUGAUCUGACGCUGAGGCGCGAAAGCGUGGGGAGCGAACAGGAUUAGAUACCCUGGUAGUCCACGCCGUAAACGAUGGGCACUAGACGCUGGUGGGAUCGACCCCUCCGGUGUCGCAGCUAACGCGAUAAGUGCCCCGCCUGGGGAGUACGGCCGCAAGGCUG